This 75-nucleotide transfer RNA is filed under the name Alosa alosa (allis shad). Its description in RNAcentral is "tRNA-OTHER". Lineage: Eukaryota; Metazoa; Chordata; Actinopteri; Clupeiformes; Clupeidae. The record is from RNAcentral.
CCAGCCGUGGCCUACUGGUUAGGGCUUUCGGGCUUGACACCGAAGGGUUGCUGGUUUGAUCCCCGACCAGUAGGA